GGUUUCUCUGUGCAACCCUGGCUGUCCUGGAACUCACUCUGUAGACCAGGCUGGCCUAGAACUCAGAGAUCCACCUGCUUCUGCCUCCCCAGUGCUGGGAUUAAAGGCAUGCGCUACCACAGCCUG
MicroRNA precursor from Microtus ochrogaster (prairie vole), 126 nucleotides. The record is from Ensembl. Lineage: Eukaryota; Metazoa; Chordata; Mammalia; Rodentia; Cricetidae.